AAGGAUCAUUAUUGAAAUAAACCUGAUGGGUUGUUGCUGGCUCUCUAGGGAGCAUGUGCACACCUUGUCAUCUUUAUAUCUCCACCUGUGCACUUUUUGUAGACCUUUCAGGUCUAUGUUGCUUUCAUUUACCCCAAUGUAUGUUAAUAGAAUGUUGUGCCUAUAUAAUAUAUACAACUUUCAGCAACGGAUCUCUUGGCUCUCGCAUCGAUGAAGAACGCAGCGAAAUGCGAUAAGUAAUGUGAAUUGCAGAAUUCAGUGAAUCAUCGAAUCUUUGAACGCACCUUGCGCUCCUUGGUAUUCCGAGGAGCAUGCCUGUUUGAGUGUCAUUAAUAUAUCAACCUUCUCUUUUUUGAGUUGUUUGGAUGUGGGGGUUUGCUGGCCUCUUAAAUGAUUCAGCUCCCCUGAAAUGCAUUAGCAGAACAACCUGUUCAUUGGCGUGAUAAUUAUCUAUGCUAUUGAAUGUGAGGGCAGUUCAGCUUUCUAACCGUCCUUGGACAAUUCAUCAUUAAUGUGACCUCAAAUCAGGUAGGACUACCCGCUGAACUUAA
This 551-nucleotide ribosomal RNA is filed under the name uncultured fungus. RNAcentral's name for it is "eukaryotic LSU rRNA". The stretch from base 176 to 329 matches the Rfam family "5.8S ribosomal RNA". Lineage: Eukaryota; Fungi. The record is from RNAcentral.